GCCCGGGUGGUGGAAUUGGUCAGACACUCCUCACUUAAAAUGAGGCGCUCCCACGGGAGCAUGUGGGUUCGAAUCCCACCCCGGGCA
Molecule: transfer RNA, 87 nt
Filed under: Acidimicrobiia bacterium
Lineage: Bacteria; Bacillati; Actinomycetota; Acidimicrobiia
Description: tRNA-Leu
Rfam family: tRNA
About the family: Transfer RNA (tRNA) molecules are approximately 80 nucleotides in length. Their secondary structure includes four short double-helical elements and three loops (D, anti-codon, and T loops). Further hydrogen bonds mediate the characteristic L-shaped molecular structure. tRNAs have two regions of fundamental functional importance: the anti-codon, which is responsible for specific mRNA codon recognition, and the 3' end, to which the tRNAs corresponding amino acid is attached (by aminoacyl-tRNA synthetases). tRNAs cope with the degeneracy of the genetic code in two manners: having more than one tRNA (with a specific anti-codon) for a particular amino acid; and 'wobble' base-pairing, i.e. permitting non-standard base-pairing at the 3rd anti-codon position.
Source: RNAcentral